Molecule: ribosomal RNA, 450 nt
Filed under: uncultured bacterium
Lineage: Bacteria
Description: partial 16S ribosomal RNA
Rfam family: Bacterial small subunit ribosomal RNA
Source: RNAcentral
GUGGGGAAUAUUGGACAAUGGGCGAAAGCCUGAUCCAGCCAUGCCGCGUGUGUGAAGAAGGUCUUCGGAUUGUAAAGCACUUUAAGUUGGGAGGAAGGGCAGUAAGUUAAUACCUUGCUGUUUUGACGUUACCGACAGAAUAAGCACCGGCUAACUUCGUGCCAGCAGCCGCGGUAAUACGAAGGGUGCAAGCGUUAAUCGGAAUUACUGGGCGUAAAGCGCGCGUAGGUGGUUCAGCAAGUUGGAGGUGAAAUCACCGGGCUCAACCUGGGAACUGCCUCCAAAACUACUGAGCUAGAGUACGGUAGAGGGUAGUGGAAUUUCCUGUGUAGCGGUGAAAUGCGUAGAUAUAGGAAGGAACACCAGUGGCGAAGGCGACUACCUGGACUGAUACUGACACUGAGGUGCGAAAGCGUGGGGAGCAAACAGGAUUAGAUACCCUUGUAGUCC